This 267-nucleotide unclassified non-coding RNA is filed under the name Hevea brasiliensis (rubber tree). Lineage: Eukaryota; Viridiplantae; Streptophyta; Magnoliopsida; Malpighiales; Euphorbiaceae. The record is from RNAcentral.
CCCCUUCAAAAACCCACCAAGUAAGAAAGAAAAAUGGUAAAUUACUUAUAAAUUAAGCUACAGACUUGUACCUGCAAAGAACCUUACACCUUAAGACCUUGUCCUGAACAUAAAACCCUGGCAUCACCAUCAUCUUAACUCGGGUUGGACCAUGUGAUCUUUGCCUAUCCAUGAACAUGUCCUCCAUGUAAUGUGGAUCGAAGCUCCUAUUCUCUUCGACCCUUAAAAUUCCCAGGGGUGGACUGAAUGAAAAUGCAAGCAAAUGAA